Long non-coding RNA from Zophobas morio, 2105 nucleotides. RefSeq lists it as uncharacterized. Lineage: Eukaryota; Metazoa; Arthropoda; Insecta; Coleoptera; Tenebrionidae. The record is from RefSeq and is a predicted model, not a curated record. The transcript is spliced from 2 exons.
UCGAGAGUACGCAGAGGGCGCAGAGACGCGCAUGACGGAAGAUGAUGACGCACGAUACAGGGCACUUAUGUAGAGUUCUUGACGUACCUACGUCGUACUUGUAACGCAGUCACCCUUUAAUUAAAUAAAAUAUUUAAAAGAAGGUUUUAUUCUUUUACAAUCAGAAGUGGGAUAACAAAACCCGACGUGCGUAUUUCUACGACGUUUAAAUGUGUUGUUGUGUUGUUAUUAUGUGAAAAUUACGGCCAUCCAAUGUCACGCAAAAACUACGGAAAUGUGAACACCCUUGUGGACGAAGCUCAGUCAAACUGUAGGAAAAUCUGACGACGAUGGUAUCGACAAUGUUCAGUUUUACGUUAUUGUCGAAUUUAAUAUGAAAAACGAACAACUAGUUAACGAAAUUCCGAGAAUGUGGCCAUAUAAGCAAUCUCAUCAGGGGCGCGAGAAGAUGCCUUGCUUACAAUUUAUUGGGAGGUUGAUUUCUUGCCAGCUGACUACGAGUAAACGGAUGCUUGACUGGUGACAAUUCAUAAGUAUUUGUAAUUAUUGCAACAAACCUUUGUAACUCUUCUUAUGGUAAUAAUUUUCCACGUAAUGGAUGUAAGUAUUACGCUAAAAUGUUACUACGAAAGCUUUCUUUCGGCAAAGACAUGACGAGUAGAUGGAAGUAGUCAACGGACUAGCUACCACUGCUGAAGUGACGUUACGAACAGACGGAAGCAAUCGCAGGCCAGCAACUGAUACCUUAUACCAGGCCAGAGGAUCUGCUUCACGAAUUUUUAAGACCAACGGGUCUACUUUACGAGGCGCUUAGGCCAACGGGUCUAUGUUACGAUGCGCUAAGACCAACGGGUCUAUCUUACCAAGCGCUUAGGCCAACGGGUCUAUGUUACGAUGCGCUAAGACCAACGGGUCUACCUUACCAAGCGCUUAGGCCAACGGGUCUAUGUUACGAUGCGCUAAGACCAACGGGUCUACCUUACCAAGCGCUUAGGCCAACGGGUCUAUGUUACGAUGCGUUAAGACCAACGGGUCUACCUUACCAAGCGCUUAGGCCAACGGGUCUAUGUUACGAUGCGCUAAGACCAACGGGUCUACCUUACGAAGCGUUUGGACCAACGGGUCUACUUUAUAAAACGCUAAGACCAACGGGUCUACUUUACGAAGCGUUUGGACCAACGGGUCUGUUUUAUAAAACGCUAAGACCAACGGGUCUAUUGUAUGCGACGCUUUAACUAUUUCAAUCAAACCAGUUCAAAAAUAAAUAGAACCAGACAUAAGCCAUCAUUCAAUAAAAAUAAAACAAUAAAUAAAAAAAAAGUAAAUUAGAACUUUAGUAGCUUUAACAUUUAUUAUUACAAAAAUAAAACAAACUAUUGCGGGGCUUAUUUCAAAAUACAAUAAAAACAUUCGUAGAUCUACUAUUACACAAAUACAAUAAAACUAGCGCUAGAUUUAUAAAAAAAAAGACCACUCAAUAGGUCUACCACAAAGUAAGAUGACGAGACGAGUAAACUUAGGUUUACUUUAACAAAUAAGACGAGACCACUCAAUAGGUCUACUUCCAAGUUACGCCACGAGUAGACUUAGGUUUACUUUAAAAAUUAAGACGAGACCAACGGGUCUAUUUUACGAAAUAAUAAGACCAACGGGUCUUUUCUUUAACCAUUUUAGGAAAUCCAUCUUAACUAUUUUAGGGAAUUUACGUUAACCUUCUUAGGAAAUUCUGUAAUGAUGCUAAACGCAGAAAGUAUUUGCAUUUAAAUGCAGCCUAGAAAUUAUACGAUGGAAGGCCCAGAUGACGAUUAAAAUCUAAUGAGCAGAAAUAUGUAAGUUUCGAAACUUUCUAAAAUUUGUUUUAGUAUUCGGUUUCCAAUCACGGGUCUGUGGACAGCCCCAUAGUCAGGAUGGCCGAAUGUAAGAAUAAUUCUGAUACCACUUAACCUUGGCGUCUCGAUAAGGGUCGAGAGUACGCAGAGGGCGCAGAGACGCGCAUGACGGAAGAUGAUGACGCACGAUACAGGGCACUUAUGUAGAGUUCUUGACGUACCUACGUCGUACUUGUAACGCAGUCACCCUUUAAUUAAAUAAAAUAUUUAAAAGAA